Molecule: ribosomal RNA, 253 nt
Filed under: uncultured bacterium
Lineage: Bacteria
Description: partial 16S ribosomal RNA
Rfam family: Bacterial small subunit ribosomal RNA
Source: RNAcentral
UCCAGAGGUCCCAAGCGUUGUUCGGAUUCACUGGGCGUAAAGGGUGCGUAGGUGGUCGGGUAAGUCUGAUGUGAAAUCUCCGAGCUUAACUCGGAAAUGGCAUUGGAUACUAUUCGGCUGGAGGUUUGGAGGGGGGACUGGAAUUCUCGGUGUAGCGGUGAAAUGCGUAGAUAUCGAGAGGAACACCAGUGGCGAAGGCGGUUCUCUGGGCAUUACCUGACGCUGAGGAGCGAAAGUGUGGGGAGCGAACAGG